AUUUACCGAGGAGGACUCGGGCCCUGCGAGGUCACUUCAUCCUGGCCCAGGUACUGCAGCUCCAAAUCGUGGGGAUUCUGUAAGAGCUUGCUACCUGUUGACUGAGGAGGCCCACGAGUCGAGCAAAAAGAAUGAUUCCUCAGCAGUCACUGUGAAAUUUUGUGGGCCACAAGUAUUGUGCACACAUGAUCCUUGAUUUAGAGUCAACCUGAUAUCCAUUACAGCUGUGGAAAGGCAGCAGGCAGUUGUGUCGCUCUUCACAAUAAGGAACACAUCUUGCUUUCAGCAUGUGAGAGGAACAAAAGCAUUGAUGUAAAUGUGCCUCAAAGUGAGAACUGAAAACAUUAACAUAAAAUAAAAAAGUCAAAUAAGACU
This 375-nucleotide long non-coding RNA is filed under the name Pan troglodytes (chimpanzee). RNAcentral's name for it is "long non-coding RNA NONPTRT005679". Lineage: Eukaryota; Metazoa; Chordata; Mammalia; Primates; Hominidae. The record is from RNAcentral.